CGGCCGGUGGGGCGGUCCCGGCCCGGCUCCGGGCCGGGCGGCGGCGGCGCGGUCUCCUCCUCGGUCACC
Molecule: transfer RNA, 69 nt
Filed under: Streptomyces sp. MP131-18
Lineage: Bacteria; Bacillati; Actinomycetota; Actinomycetes; Kitasatosporales; Streptomycetaceae
Description: tRNA-Arg
Source: RNAcentral